Non-coding RNA from Macaca mulatta (Rhesus monkey), 269 nucleotides. The record is from RefSeq and is a predicted model, not a curated record. NCBI's taxonomy places the organism in Eukaryota, Metazoa, Chordata, Mammalia, Primates, Cercopithecidae.
AGACAAAGAUCCAUUCUGAGAAGAAGAGCUCUGCGUCCUGUCCUUGUGACCCGCUGACUGCAACAGGGGUAGACAUGUGCAAAGCCUAGGAUUGGAAAUGAUGGAUGCUUUCCAGGGACCCUGAUCCAUCAUCAGAUGAAUAUGCUGCCACCUCACCAAGGAAGCACCUGGAAAGGCCAGUUGAAGGAAAUGACUUUCUGCUGCUGGUGUUGGUAAGUGUUUGUGAUUAGACAGAUGACUCCAUUGUGUGGUUUAGGCACAGGGCUGCC